UACGUAGGGUGCAGGCGUUAAUCGGAAUUACUGGGCGUAAAGCGUGCGCAGGCGGUUCUAUAAGACAGAUGUGAAAUCCCCGGGCUCAACCUGGGAACUGCAUUUGUGACUGUAGAGCUGGAGUACGGUAGAGGGGGAUGGAAUUCCGCGUGUAGCAGUGAAAUGCGUAGAUAUGCGGAGGAACACCGAUGGCGAAGGCAAUCCCCUGGACCUGUACUGACGCUCAUGCACGAAAGCGUGGGGAGCAAACAGG
This 253-nucleotide ribosomal RNA is filed under the name uncultured bacterium. RNAcentral describes it as "partial 16S ribosomal RNA". It matches the Rfam family "Bacterial small subunit ribosomal RNA", at positions 524 to 776 of the family's 1533-position model. The record is from RNAcentral.